CAGGUGAGUAACACGUGGGCAACCUGCCUGCUAGUAGGGUUAACCCCGGGAAACCGGGGCUAAUACCGGAUAAUACUUUUCAUCACCUGAUGGAAAGUUGAAAGGUGGCUUCUUGCUACCACUUACAGAUGGGCCCGCGGCGCAUUAGCUAGUUGGUGAGGUAACGGCUCACCAAGGCAACGAUGCGUAGCCGACCUGAGAGGGUGAUCGGCCACACUGGGACUGAGACACGGCCCAGACUCCUACGGGAGGCAGCAGUAGGGAAUCUUCCGCAAUGGACGAAAGUCUGACGGAGCAACGCCGCGUGAGUGAUGAAGGUUUUCGGAUCGUAAAGCUCUGUUGUUAGGGAAGAACAAGUGCCGUUCGAAUAGGGCGGCACCUUGACGGUACCUAACCAGAAAGCCCCGGCUAACUACGUGCCAGCAGCCGCGGUAAUACGUAGGGGGCAAGCGUUGUCCGGAAUUAUUGGGCGUAAAGCGCGCGCAGGCGGUCCUUUAAGUCUGAUGUGAAAGCCCACGGCUUAACCGUGGAGGGUCAUUGGAAACUGGAGGACUUGAGUACAGAAGAGGAGAGUGGAUUUCCACGUGUAGGGGGGAAAU
RNAcentral lists this ribosomal RNA (599 nucleotides) under Virgibacillus halodenitrificans. RNAcentral's name for it is "bacterial SSU rRNA". It matches the Rfam family "Bacterial small subunit ribosomal RNA", at positions 100 to 687 of the family's 1533-position model. The record is from RNAcentral. Lineage: Bacteria; Bacillati; Bacillota; Bacilli; Caryophanales; Bacillaceae.